AGAAUGACUCUCGGCAACGGAUAUCUAGGCUCUCGCAUCGAUGAAGAACGUAGCGAAAUGCGAUACUUGGUGUGAAUUGCAGAAUCCCGUGAACCAUCGAGUCUUUGAACGCAAGUUGCGCCCGAUGCCAUUAGGUUGAGGGCACGUCUGCCUGGGUGUCACAU
Molecule: ribosomal RNA, 164 nt
Filed under: Lathyrus pannonicus subsp. asphodeloides
Lineage: Eukaryota; Viridiplantae; Streptophyta; Magnoliopsida; Fabales; Fabaceae
Description: 5.8S ribosomal RNA
Rfam family: 5.8S ribosomal RNA
About the family: 5.8S ribosomal RNA (5.8S rRNA) is a component of the large subunit of the eukaryotic ribosome. It is transcribed by RNA polymerase I as part of the 45S precursor that also contains 18S and 28S rRNA. Functionally, it is thought that 5.8S rRNA may be involved in ribosome translocation.
Source: RNAcentral